This 445-nucleotide ribosomal RNA is filed under the name Pentacheles laevis. RNAcentral describes it as "partial 12S ribosomal RNA". The stretch from base 49 to 445 matches the Rfam family "Microsporidia small subunit ribosomal RNA", at positions 752 to 1285 of the family's 1311-position model. The record is from RNAcentral. Lineage: Eukaryota; Metazoa; Arthropoda; Malacostraca; Decapoda; Polychelidae.
UAAACUAGGAUAGAUACCCUAUUAUACUUUAAAAAGUUUAUGUUGCUAGGAGAUUAAUAGUUAUAGUCUUUAAAUUUAAAGAAUUUGGCGGUGUCUUAGUCCUGUUAGAGGAACCUGUCUUAUAAAACGAUAAACCACGAAAAAUCUUACUUGUUUAAAUUAUUUAGUUUGUAUACCGUCAUUAUAGAGGACUUUAAGAGAAAGGAAUAAGUUGUUAAAAUUAAGUGGAGUUAAGAAUAUUAGAUCAAGGUGCAGUUAAUAGAUGAGGUAAGAUGGGUUACAAUGUAAUUAAUAUAAUACGGAUUGAAAGAGGAAAGUAUUUCAUAAAGGAGGAUUUAAUUGUAAGUAGAUUUUAAUAUGGUUUACUGAUAGGGGCUCUAAGUUAUGUACAUAUUGCCCGUCGCUUUCGUUAAUUAAAAUGAAAUAAGUCGUAACACAGUAGAUG